RNAcentral lists this long non-coding RNA (1811 nucleotides) under Vitis vinifera (wine grape). RNAcentral's name for it is "long non-coding RNA (VVIN_LNC006041)". The record is from RNAcentral. Lineage: Eukaryota; Viridiplantae; Streptophyta; Magnoliopsida; Vitales; Vitaceae.
CCAAUUUACCGAGGAUUGCACCUUAGGUGGAUACCAUGUCUCUAAAGGCACCCGUUUAAUAAUGAACCUUUCGAAGAUCCAAAAGGAUCCAAGAAUUUGGUCAAAUCCAACAGAAUUCCAACCAGAGAGGUUUCUCACCACCCAUAAAGAUGUUGAUCCUUGGGGAAAACAUUUUGAAUUUAUACCAUUUGGAGCUAGUCGAAGAGUAUGUCCAGGAAUAACUUUUGGUCUUCAAAUAUUACAUUUAACAUUAGCUAGUUUCUUACAUGCGUUUGAAUUUUCAACUCCAUCAAAUGAAUAGGUCGAUAUGCGCGAGAGCCUUGGACUUACAAACAUGAAAUCUACCCCACUUGAAGUUCUCAUUUCUCCACGCUUAUCUUCUUGUAGUCUUUACAAUUAAAACAUUGAAACGAAUAGGUCAAGUCGGUCUUGCUAGUCUUGGUUUAAAGACAUAUGGAGUUAGGUUCAAUCAAUCUAUGACAAGAUUUGGGAUUGUAUUAAAAGUAGGUUGGACUAAGAAUGAUGUAUAAUAAACUAAAGUACUAUUUAUGUCAAUAAAGUAUAGCUUUAUAUAUUAUUUGGUUAUCCUUGCUCUCCGUCUAGGCUCUCAUGGGUGCAAGGCCUACCCAUGAGGCCCUUUUCUCCAAAUUUGAGUCAAGUGGCUAAGGGGCUUACAACUAGCUUCUUUGCCAUAGACAAAUUUUCUUUUGUUUAUAUGUUUUAAUUGAUGCAUAUUCACUUUCUUCUUUUCUUAAUUAAAUUGCAAUAAUUAAACAUACAAUUUAAAUAAAUUUUAAAUUUUAUUUUUAACUAAAAACAAAAGUAUACAGAUACAAAUAUAUACUGCUUAAGUAAUUAAUUUUUAAAAAUUAUCCUUUGAGAACAUCUCAGACAAACUGAGACAUGCUUCCAGAGAAAUCUAAAUGUAAUGUUUUUAAAAGCUACUUUGUAAUUUUAUUUUCGAGCAUGUUGCAUAAUAUAUACUUUCCUUGAAUUGAUUUUCCAAACUAUAUUUUUAUUAGCAAUAAGGGUUAUCUACGUUUUGGAAAUUAUAAGUUAAUUAUGUUCACUUGAAUAAGAGAUUUGAACAAUCUUGUAAAAAGAUGAUAUAUAUAUAUAUAUAUAUAUAUAUAUAUAUAUAUAUAUAUAUAUAUAUAUAUAUAUAUAUAUAUAUAUAUAUAUAUAUAUAUCGUAUGGCUGAUUUGGAAAUUAUCCAAAAUGGAAAAAAAUACUAUUAUUUUGGUACAAGACCAUAUUGUUCAAUAGUGUCUCUAGAGAGUUCCAUUAGAUGCUAUCAAACAAAUAAUUUGGUGUCUCACUUGCAUAAUUUUGAAUUGUUCGAUUUUGGGUUUUGCAGGCUCUAAUUGUCGGAGGUAACAAUACAACUGUUGUCUCUUUAACAUGGGCACUCUCUCUUUUACUAAACGUACAACCACGACAUCUUAAAAAAGGCUCAAGAAGAAUUAGAUAUCCAAGUUAGCAGGGAAAGAUUAAUGAAUGAACAAGAUAUAAGUAAGUUGGUCUAUUUUCAAGCCAUUGUUAAAGAGACAUUACGGUUAUAUCCACCAAGACUACUUGGUGGACUAUGCCAAUUUACUAAGGAUUGCACCUUGGGUGGAUACCAUGUCUCUAAAGGCACCCGUUUAAUAAUGAACCUUUCAAAGAUCUAAAAGGAUCCAAGAAUUUGGUCAGAUCCAAUAGAAUUCCAACCAGAGAGGUUUCUCAUCACCCAUAAGAAUGUUGAUGAUUGGGGAAAACAUUUUGAAUUUAUUUCAUUUGGAGCUGGUCGAAGAGCAUGUUUAGGAAUUGCU